Long non-coding RNA from Lepisosteus oculatus (spotted gar), 1508 nucleotides. RefSeq lists it as uncharacterized. Lineage: Eukaryota; Metazoa; Chordata; Actinopteri; Semionotiformes; Lepisosteidae. The record is from RefSeq and is a predicted model, not a curated record.
CACAAAAAAGAUUUUUCUUCUGCUUCACAAGACGCUUGCUCGAACCAUUGUUUUGAACCAGGGACCUUUGAAGUGGAACCUAGACCAUAAACCUGUGAGUCUGUCCAGAGUAGCUGGAUUUUCUGUCUCUCUGGUGCAGUGGUUCUAAACAGUUCAACAGUUCUUACCAAAAUUGUGAAAUGUUUAGGACCACUUGAUCAGGGGGAUGAUAGCCUCAAAUGAGAGAGACAACACUGGAAGACAGAAAGUGAAGAAAAAGAAACAUGAACAGGACAUUGCAGCAUGUACUAGCGCUACAAGCAAUUCACCGACUGUAGGAGACCUUAUCUUUAUGUACUGUUAUGGGCAUGGUGGUCAGUCAUUGCCUUCCAGCAUGUUGCAAAUACCGAUGGACUGUGGAGAAAGAUGGGUCAGGUUUACAUAAACAAAAAGUGGAUUGAAUUCCCUCUGAUCUUGCCUGUGUGUUCAGAUUUUCUUACAGAUUGAUACUUGAUUUAACAGUUAAAUUUUUGUAGUAUUUUAAACUAUACAAUCUGUGGUAUAUCCCUUUAUUGAAGUCCGCUUCAUUGAAUCAAAAGACAUUUUUAUCCGGGCACUUUUAACAGAAUUUAUGUUGCUUUCAGGGCAAUCUUAUGUAACAGAAACAAACCUAGAUUUAUUACAUGUUCUUUAGGAUUUAGGAUAAAUGAUCUUCUGGAUGGAAUUAAAAGCUAAUUUGUUCUAGCACAACCUUGUUAGGCCUCUGAAAAUGUACAGAAGCUGACUAAGCUUGUAAUGUCAUUGAAAUCUGUACCUACACUGCAAACAAACGAGUGUGAAAUAAGUAAAGAUUGAUAGUAACAUUUUUAAAAAUAAAUCUGCUAUCUGUGUUUCAGUUAGGAUAUGCAGGAUUUCUUAGUUGCAGUUUCAAGGCAUGAUUUCUUACCUUUUUGUACAUGAAUAUCUAUAUCAUUUCUAUCUUAUAUAAUGUGUUAUGUUGCUCUUUGAAUUGAAGUAUAUUUUUGUAUUUGUUCCCAUUUAAAUAUUCCUUAAGAUUGCUAAACUGAGAACCAUUGAUUUUUUUAAGGGUAUUUUUACUGGAAUAUGGAAAAUGAAUGUGAACUCAAGCCUCUGUAACUUUUAAAAUAAAAAAUAUCAAAAUUUAAGAAAAGAGAACAAACGUCUGUUUAACAUGAGAUACUCAGUGAAAGACGUUAUAAGUAUUAUCUUAUAAACAUAAAAAUGUUUAUGGUGUGCUUUUAAAAAUGUAGCUGGCUGAUAUAAUUCAUAUAUAUUUUUGUUAAAAUAAUUCACAGUGUUCAAAGCACUAUAUGUUAUCUGCAAUACCACAGAUAACCUGUUAACCGUGGAAAAGUACAAAAAUCACCAAAGAUGAUUCAGUAAAAUACCAAAAUGACUGAAGUUAAAACAAGACUUGAAAUAAUUUUGUAAUUUCGUUAUUCUUUGACAAAUUUCACCUUUGUUUUUCUUAAAGUUAUUUGUCAAAAAUAAAAAAUAAGUUUAAGGCA